RNAcentral lists this ribosomal RNA (253 nucleotides) under uncultured bacterium. RNAcentral describes it as "partial 16S ribosomal RNA". It matches the Rfam family "Bacterial small subunit ribosomal RNA", at positions 524 to 776 of the family's 1533-position model. The record is from RNAcentral.
UACGGAGGGGGCAAGCGUUAUUCGGAAUUAUUGGGCGUAAAGGGCGCGUAGGCGGCUAGAUGUGUCAAAGGUGAAAUCCCUCGGCUCAACUGAGGAACUGCCUUUGAAACUGUCUGGCUUGAGGCCGGGAGAGGGUAGCGGAAUUCCCAGUGUAGCGGUGAAAUGCGUAGAUAUUGGGAGGAACACCAGUGGCGAAGGCAGCUCGCUGGGACGGUACUGACGCUGAGGCGCGAAAGCGUGGGGAGCAAACAGG